Gopherus agassizii (Agassiz's desert tortoise) is the source of this 1466-nucleotide long non-coding RNA. The record is from Ensembl. Lineage: Eukaryota; Metazoa; Chordata; Testudines; Testudinidae.
CAGGUAUUGAAGGCUAUGUGCUGUUUAGGAAAGACAGAAAUAAAGGCAAAGGUGGUGGAGUAGCAUUGUACAUCAAUGAGGAGGUUAACUGUAAAGAAAUAAGAAGUGAUGGAAUGGACAAGACAGAGUCUGUCUGGGCAAAAAUCACACUGGGAAAGAAAGCUACUAGAGCCUCCCCUGAGAUAGUGCUUGGGGUGUGCUACAGACCGCCGGGAUCUGAUUUGGAUAUGGAUAGAGACCUCUUUAAUGUUUUUAAGGAAGUAAACACUAAUGGGAAAUGUGUGAUCAUGGGAGACUUUAACUUCCCAGAUAUAGACUGGAGUACAAGUGCUAGCAAGAAUAGUAGGGAUCAGAUUUUUCUGGAUGUGAUAGCUGAUGGAUUCCUUCACCAAGUAGUUGAAGAACCGACAAGAGGGGAUGCCAUUUUAGAUUUGGUUUUGGUGAGCAGUGAGGACCUCAUAGAAGAAAUGGUUGUAGGGGACAACCUUGGUUCGAGUGAUCAUGAGCUAAUUCAGUUCAAACUAGAUGGAAGGAUAAACAAAAAUAGAUCUGGGACUAGGGUUUUUGAUUUCAAAAGGGCUAACUUUAAAGAAUUAAGGAAAUUAGUUAGGGAAGUGGAUUGGACUGAAGAACUUGUGGAUCUAAAUGCGGAAGAGGCCUGGAAUUACUUUAAGUCGCAGCUGCAGAAACUAUCGGAAGCCUGCAUCCCAAGAAAGGGGAAAAAAACCAUAGGCAGGAGUUGUAGACCAAGCUGGAUGAGCAAGCAUCUCAGAGAGGUGAUUAAGAAAAAGCAGAAAGCCUACAAGGAGUGGAAGAAGGGUGGGAUUAGCAAGGAAAGCUACCUUAGUGAGGUCAGAACAUGUAGGGAUAAAGUGAGAAAGGCUAAAAGCCAAGUAGAGUUGAACCUUGCAAAGGGAAUUAAAACCAAUAGUAAAAGGUUCUAUAGCCAUAUAAAUAAGAAGAAAACAAAGAAAGAAGAAGUGGGACCGCUACACACUGAGGAUGGAAAGGAGGUUAAGGAUAACCUAGGCAUGGCCCAAUAUCUAAAUAAGUACUUUGCCUCAGUCUUUAAUAAGGCUAAUGGGGAGCUUAGGGGUAAUGGAAGGAUGACAAACGGGAAUGAGGAUAUGGAGGUGGAUAUUACCACAUCUGAGGUAGAAGCCAUACUUGAACAGCUUAAUGGGACAAAAUCGGAGGGCCCGGACAAUCUUCAUCCGAGAAUAUUAAAGGAACUGGCGCAUGAAAUUGCAAGCCCAUUAGCGAGAAUUUUUAAUGAAUCAGUAAACUCAGGGGUUGUACCGUAUGACUGGAGAAUUGCUAACGUAGUUCCUAUCUUUAAGAAAGGGAGAAAGAGUGAUCCGAGUAACUAUAGGCCUGUUAGUUUGACAUCUGUAGUAUGUAAGGUCUUGGAAAAAAUUUUGAAGGAGAAAGUAGUUAAGGACAUUGAGGUCAAUGGUAAUUGGGAC